This 513-nucleotide ribosomal RNA is filed under the name uncultured bacterium. RNAcentral's name for it is "partial 16S ribosomal RNA". It matches the Rfam family "Bacterial small subunit ribosomal RNA", at positions 29 to 523 of the family's 1533-position model. The record is from RNAcentral.
AGCGAACGUUAGCGGCGGGCCUAACACAUGCAAGUCGAGCGAGAAAGUGGCUUCGGCCACGAGUAAAGCGGCGGACGGGUGAGUAACACGUAGGUAAUCUUCCCUUGAGCAGGGGACAACGAGCCGAAAGGCUCGCUAAUACCGCAUACGUUUCCAGAGGCCCCGGUCUCUGGAAGGAAAGCUAGGCCGCAAGGUCUGGCACUCGAGGAGGAGCCUGCGUCGGAUCAGCUAGUUGGUGGGGUAACGGCCUACCAAGGCGAAGACGCGUAGCUGGGAUGAGAGGAGGAUCAGCAACACUGGGACUGAGACACGGCCCAGACUCCUACGGGAGGCAGCAGUGGGGAAUAUUGGACAAUGGGCGCAAGCCUGAUCCAGCCACGCCGCGUGAGUGAUGAAGGCCUUCGGGUCGUAAAGCUCUGUGGGGAGGGACGAACCGCUGCACGUUCAUAGCGUGCAGCAUGACGGUACCUCCUUAGCAAGCACCGGCUAACUUCGUGCCAGCCGCCGCGGUAA